CACCAGCGCCUCGAGCGGUGAUCGCGAUUAUUGGGUCUAAAGCGUCCGUAGCAGGCUUUGUAAGUGCUUUGUGAAAUUGUCUGGCAUAACCAGACAGCGUGCAGAGUAGACUGCAGAACUUGAGACCGGGAGAGGUUAGCAGUAUUCCUUGGGUACCGGUAAAAUGGGUUAAUCCAAGGAGGACUACCAAUGGCGAAGGCAGCUAACCAGAACGGUUCUGACUGUGAGGGACGAAAGCUAGGGGAGCAAAACGG
Molecule: ribosomal RNA, 254 nt
Filed under: uncultured bacterium
Lineage: Bacteria
Description: partial 16S ribosomal RNA
Rfam family: Archaeal small subunit ribosomal RNA
Source: RNAcentral